UUCCUCUUGCUUCUGGUCGCUUCCUCGCAAUAUUAUUUGCACCUCUCCCUUAGACUUUAUUCUCAAAUUUUUUUGCACAAGGCAUCUUGAAUUUGAUUCUUUGAGCCUUUGAUUUCAAACUAGUCCUUAGCCUUUUUAUAUUUUAUUGCCUGAUUUUUCUUUCCUUAUAUUCAAACCGCUACGUGGGAAUUCCUAGUUUAUUUUCUUGUUCUUGGAUUGAUUUAUGGAGUAUAAACUUUCCUUCCAUUUUGCAAUUCAUAGACAAACUCGAGAGCAAAGGUCGUUUUAGGAUGCAGAAGUGGUUGAAGGAGUGGAAAUCUUUCUAUAUUUCAAGAAGAAGCUUGACCUGAAUGAAAAGCACGAGACAGAAAGAGGGGACAAAGCGCCAAUAGUCUGAGAGGGCAUUCUCGAAAGCAGCAAGGUCACAUCCAGGGACAUCAAGAGUUUAGGAAGAGGAUCUGGGCCCACAUAGCAGUAUUAUAUGAAUAUGAAAGGGUAUGGCUAUGGCUCGACCGGCAGAGACAAAAGUCUCCUUCUUCACUCUCGGUCUAUGAAAUUGGUUAUACCUCGGGAUCCUCAAUUUUAGUCUUUUAUAUAUUAUAGAUUACCUCUCUUAUUAAUCCUUACUAUAUAAGGGGAGAAUCAUUUUUGGAGGAUUGUACCCCUUGCCAAAUUCUAAAUUUACAAUGUCAAACAAAUUUAAUUGAUUUUUUUAUUUAUGAUUAUUUUAGUAUAAAAAAUAUAACUAUUAAUAGUCUUUUCAAAUUUCCACCAUGUAUAAAUUAUUAUUUAAGAGAUCAAGAAGUUAGAAUGAAUGUAUAUCGAUGAUGAGAAUAUUUCAAAAGGUUUU
This 850-nucleotide long non-coding RNA is filed under the name Cucumis sativus (cucumber). Its description in RNAcentral is "long non-coding RNA (CSAT_LNC002399)". The record is from RNAcentral. Lineage: Eukaryota; Viridiplantae; Streptophyta; Magnoliopsida; Cucurbitales; Cucurbitaceae.